GGAGUUAGCGGAAGAGAAGGGGUUUGAUACGAACUGUAGGUAGCUAGCCAUGGCUCAGUUUGCUCUCGUUCCACGUCGCGUGAGGUUUGUAUGUGUUUUUUGUUAAAGUUGUCGUUUCACACGCUGAUCCAUCCGAAAGACUCAUCCCCUUCCGUUAGAAUUCUGUCUAGUCGAGAAAAGUUUGCGACAAAAUUAUUUGCGUCAGUGUGUCUCCUUGUAAAGUGCUUGUCAAGUGUGUGUAUGAGGUGUUUAAGAUUCUCUAAAGUGCUUUGUGCUUUUGGGAUAAAUUUCGCGCGUGAUCGCGGAUAGAGGAUCAUGCUGAUAAGAAGCCACUAUUGCUUGUUUGCAUUGUUAUUGUUCGCGUUUGGAUGUAUUCGAGAAUCUGGACAACUCAUUAUCAAGAGCAUCGAUGUACCAGCUAUUGUAAAGGUCAGCGAGACUGAUUCCAUUAUUCUCGAUUGCGAUUAUGAUCUUGAAAAUACAUCCAGUCAGGGCCUCGUCGUCAAAUGGUAUUUCAACACUGACCAAUUGGUUUACCAAUGGAUCUAUGGCAGGUACCCUCUAGCGGAUGAACCAGCUGUAAAAUACAUUGAUUUAGCGUACAAAACCAGCGAUGAUCCCUAUACUGGAUAUCGAGCCAUGAAGUUGAAUAAGCCAGGUGUCGACCUUACUGGCGAAUACACAUGCGUUAUAUCUACUUUUGCAGAUGAACGAACGGCGAACGCGUCAAUGAUAGUGUACUCUACAGAAGAAAAAUUUGACCUUAUAUACAGAAAAAAGACUAUAGAUGAUAAAGAUGGAGUUGAAAUAACGUGCAUGGCCGAAGGACUUUAUCCUCAACCGAUUCUAAACAUCUCCGUCGAAGGUAAUUUGGCGAAGCAAAUGGGAAACCCCAUCAUAACUCAACGUGAUGAUAGACUAUACAAUAUUUUAUCUCGCAUCACCUUAUUAGACGAAAAUUUACCAGAAACAACAAUUAUCAAAUGUUUGCUCAGUAUACCAAAGGCGAUCUACAACGUUUCUCGUAAAACUGUUUAUUACGCUGGAACAUUUACCACAUCAACUACUACAACGAAGCUGCACCGUAAAAUGGAGGUCCUGACCUUUGAUAAGUCACAAUCUGGUAAUAGUGCUGAUGGCUCUAUCGGAUAUACGUCAAUUAAUCUUUUAUUGUUAUCGAUAAAGUUAGCUGUUUUCAAUGUAUUUCAUCGAUAACUUAAUAGCUCAAUUAAUAUUGAUGUUUGCUGGUCAGUUCAUUGCAAGAAAAAGUAAAAAAGUAAAGGGAUAUUUUCAAUUGAUUUGGGAAUACAAAAUGUCUCUUUACUUUUUGAUUUUGAAGAAAAUAGAGAAUAGUAUAUGUGAGCACUGUGUUAGGACGAUGGUGCUCGAUUUCAGCCAGUUGUACAGCCUUAUUAUAGUAUUAUAUGCCGUAUCCUGAUCAAGAAACGAAUGCAGAAUAUAUGAAGAAGAUUGUUGGCUUUUUACAUUAAACAAUACAUUAUGCAAAUUCCAUAAUUGUUCGAAAGAUGAAAAGAUCACUGUAUCUUCUCUUUAUUGUUUAUUGUCACACACACACACACACACA
Molecule: RNA transcript, 1585 nt
Organism: Linepithema humile (Argentine ant)
Lineage: Eukaryota; Metazoa; Arthropoda; Insecta; Hymenoptera; Formicidae
Source: RefSeq, a predicted model, not a curated record